RNAcentral lists this ribosomal RNA (513 nucleotides) under uncultured bacterium. RNAcentral describes it as "partial 16S ribosomal RNA". It matches the Rfam family "Bacterial small subunit ribosomal RNA", at positions 28 to 523 of the family's 1533-position model. The record is from RNAcentral.
GAUGAACGCUAGCGGCGUGCCUAAUACAUGCAAGUCGAGCGAACAGAUAAGGAGCUUGCUCCUUUGACGUUAGCGGCGGACGGGCGAGUAACACGUGGAUAACCUACCUAUAAGACUGGGAUAGCUUCGGGAAACCGGAGCUAAUACCGGAUAACAUAUUGAACCGCAUGGUUCAAUAGUGAAAGGCGGCUUUGCUGUCACUUAUAGAUGGAUCCGCGCCGUAUUAGCUAGUUGGUAAGGUAACGGCUUACCAAGGCAACGAUACGUAGCCGACCUGAGAGGGUGAUCGGCCACACUGGAACUGAGACACGGUCCAGACUCCUACGGGAGGCAGCAGUAGGGAAUCCUCCGCAAUGGGCGAAAGCCUGACGGAGCAACGCCGCGUGAGUGAUGAAGGUCUUCGGAUCGUAAAACUCUGUUCUCAGGGAAGAACAAAUGUGUAAGUAACUGAGCACAUCUUGACGGUACCUGAUCAGAAAGCCACGGCUAACUACGUGCCAGCCGCCGCGGUAA